This 478-nucleotide ribosomal RNA is filed under the name uncultured bacterium. Its description in RNAcentral is "bacterial SSU rRNA". It matches the Rfam family "Bacterial small subunit ribosomal RNA", at positions 907 to 1382 of the family's 1533-position model. The record is from RNAcentral.
UGAAUUGACGGGGGCCCGCACAAGCGGAGGAACAUGUGGUUUAAUUCGAUGAUACGCGAGGAACCUUACCUGGGCUAGAACGCAAUCGGAAUCAGGCCGAAAGGUCUGCGCCAGCGAUGGCCGGUUGCGAGGUGCUGCAUGGUUGUCGUCAGCUCGUGCCGUGAGGUGUCGGGUUAAGUCCCAUAACGAGCGCAACCCCUAUCAUUUAGUUGCCAUCAGGUCAAGCUGGGGACUCUAAUGAAACUGCCUACGCAAGUAGUGAGGAAGGUGGGGAUGACGUCAAAUCAGCACGGCCCUUACGUCCAGGGCUACACACGUGCUACAAUGGCCGGUACAGCGGGAAGCGAGGCAGUGAUGCCGAGCGGAUCCCUUAAAGCCGGUCUCAGUUCGGAUUGAAGUCUGCAACUCGACUUCAUGAAGCUGGAAUCGCUAGUAAUCGCAGAUCAGCCAAGCUGCGGUGAAUACGUUCCCGGGCCUU